Ribosomal RNA from Periophthalmus magnuspinnatus, 99 nucleotides. NCBI's taxonomy places the organism in Eukaryota, Metazoa, Chordata, Actinopteri, Gobiiformes, Gobiidae. The record is from Ensembl.
GCAACCAUCAUAUCAAAAGCUGAUCUCACCUGGUCUCUGAAGCUAAGCAGGGCAGGGCCUGGUCACUGGGAUGGGAGACCGCAGGGAAUCCCAGGUGCC